Molecule: unclassified non-coding RNA, 181 nt
Filed under: fungal sp.
Lineage: Eukaryota; Fungi
Also listed under: 1 other name
Description: partial internal transcribed spacer region
Rfam family: Eukaryotic small subunit ribosomal RNA (bases 1-46)
Source: RNAcentral
AAGUCGUAACAAGGUUUCCGUAGGUGAACCUGCGGAAGGAUCAUUAUAGAUUUGAUAUACAUAUCAUAACACUUAUAGACCGAAAAGCUUUGGCGGCUUGCCGUCAAAGACCAAACUAACCAACUUAACUUGUCAACUAACAAAAUAAUUAAAACUUUCAACAACGGAUCUCUUGGUUCUC